Molecule: long non-coding RNA, 707 nt
Organism: Bubalus bubalis (water buffalo)
Lineage: Eukaryota; Metazoa; Chordata; Mammalia; Artiodactyla; Bovidae
Exons: 3
Source: RefSeq, a predicted model, not a curated record
UAGAACACAAACAACACAGAGGUAAAAGCUUGCGAGGGUACAGAGACAAGGUAGCUAUCUGCAAACCAAGGAGAGAGUUCUUGGGAGAAAUCACUGGCAACAAUAACUUUGGCAACUUAAGAUUAUUUCAUUUCCCUACAAUUUUGCAAUCAGCAUGGCAAUUUCUACAAAAACAACUAUUGAAGUUUAAAUGAGUUGUAUUAACAAGAGUUCUGUGUACAGUAUAAAAAGAAGACAAGCAUCCUAAAGAAUUAUAACUUUCACCAUAUUGCCAGCAAAACCCCUUUUAUGGAUACUUGGAAAAUAAAUAUUGAUUAGAUAAUAGUAACAAUAUAACCAUGGCUAACAUUUAUGAUGUCUUUACUACGUCCAGACAUUUUUCUAUUUUUUUUUGUUUGUUUUUUUACUUUAUGACUCAGGUGCAUUUAUUGUGCAUAUUUGAAAAAUGAGAACACAGUUGAGCUUAAGGAACUUGCUCAGUUCAUAGCUCUGAUAGUGGAGGGGUUGGGAACAAGCUUAGAUAAUCUGAUUUCAGGAUCCUAUGCAUAGAACAUUAGACUAUAGAGUCUUUCAUGAUCAACAUUGAAAAUGUAUCAUUUCUUUUAAAUUUUGGCUAAAAAGCACUGCAAACUGUGUUUUUAUUUUAUGUAUAUCUUUAUAUACUUUCCUUUUUAAUGUCAAACUAAAUUGAAAUCUCUUUUGGUUAA